AGACUGAUGACUCAUUCUUCUGUAUCCUCUAAACUGCGGUUGAUUCCUCUGGUGCGUUUCUCACUUCAAUUGUUAUAAUUCUUCAUUUCUGACUACUUCUUUUUAAUAUUUUUGCCUCUUUGCUGAAGUUCUCACUGAGUUCAUCCUUUCCUCUCCCACUUUGGUGAGCAUAUUUAUUACUUUGAGCUCCUUUAUCUGGUAAGUUGUUUGCAGGUAUUUUUCAUCUCAUUUUGCCUGACUUUCUAUGUUUGUUUCUAUGGAUAAGCUAUGUCAGCUUUAUCUCCUGGCCAUGAAAGAGUGGAAAGCCUUUCUUUAUGUAGAAAGUCCUGUGGAGCUCGGUGGCACACUCCUCCCCCGUCACCUGAGCCGGGUGCUCCAGUGGUGAUCCCUGAGUGGACACCUGCGUGUGUCCUCCUGUUGUAGGUGGGCCACAACAGAUAUGGGUGUGCUGGUGUGUGGGGCUGGUCCCCAAAGCAGAAGCCACUUUGGCGGGGCUUGAUUUCAGCCAGGGCCACCUGCCAGGUGGGGUGGAGUGGGAGCUGCUUUAGGUGGGACAGGUUCUUGGGGGAUCACUGAAGUGGGGUGCAUGGUUUUAGCUAGGUUGAUGGAAAGUGAUAGAUAUGGUGCCUGCCAGCACCAGGCCAGCUGGGUGAUAGUGUUUUCCAUANCUAUUUUUAAAAAAUGGUGUUUUCAAGCACUUCCAUCCCCAGAGAAAGUUCCACCAGGCACAGGAUUGCAUCUCUGCCCCACUUUCCAUCUCUGUGUGGCCUUUUCUUUAUAACCUUAGUCAUAGAAAAUCUGUUCAGUUCACCUUUGGGUCAGUCUCGGAGAUACUUAUUCUGUGUGUAGCUGUAGUUUUGCUGUGUCCGUGGGAGGAGGUGAGUCCAUGGCCUUCCUACCCUGCCAUGCUGGUCUGGAACUCAGCAGUGGAACCAUCUUAUGACCCCAUCAUUUGGAACGAGGGUUACAAUUUCUCCACCUCCUUGGCGACACUUGUCAUCUGUGUAUUUUUGAUAGCAGCCGUCCUAAUGAGUGUGAAGUGAUAUCUCAUUGUGAUUUGAUUUAUACCUCUCUGAUGUUUAGCGAAGCUGAAUAUUUUUCCAAUACUUACUGCCCAUUUAUACAUCACUUUUGGAAAAAUGACACUUCCAGUCUUUUUCCCAUUUUUAAUUGAGUUGUUUGAUUUUGUUGCUGCUGAGUUAUAGGAGUUACAAUGGACAUGAGUUUGAGCAAGCUUCAGGAGAUGGUGAAUGACAGGAAAGUCUGGUGUGCUGCAGUCCACGGGGUCGCAAAGAGUUGGACAUGACUGAGCGACUAAACAACAACGUAAUUGUAGCAUCCCCUUUUGCUGGAACCCCUUCUUUGUUUUACAGUGGAUUGGGUGUUUCAGCUUCUCAGCUGGGUGCUAGAGUUCUCAUGGAGGGGUUCUGGUCUAUAUAUUGUGGUUAAUUAGGUGUCUCUGUGAGGGAAGGACGGUCUACAGCUUG
RNAcentral lists this long non-coding RNA (1487 nucleotides) under Capra hircus (goat). RNAcentral describes it as "lncRNA (ENSCHIG00010001203.1)". Lineage: Eukaryota; Metazoa; Chordata; Mammalia; Artiodactyla; Bovidae. The record is from RNAcentral.